UUCCAGACUCCUACGGGAGGCAGCAGUGAGGAAUAUUGGUCAAUGGUCGGGAGACUGAACCAGCCAAGCCGCGUGAGGGAUGAAGGUACAGAGUAUCGUAAACCUCUUUUGUCAGGGAACAAAGGCGGGGACGCGUCCCCGGAUGAGUGUACCUGAAGAAAAAGCAUCGGCUAACUCCGUGCCAGCAGCCGCGGUAAUACGGAGGAUGCGAGCGUUAUCCGGAUUUAUUGGGUUUAAAGGGUGCGUAGGCGGACUGGAAAGUCAGCGGUAAAAUCGAGAGGCUCAACCUCUUUCCGCCGUUGAAACUGUCGGUCUUGAGUGGGCGAGAAGUAUGCGGAAUGCGUGGUGUAGCGGUGAAAUGCAUAGAUAUCACGCAGAACUCCGAUUGCGAAGGCAGCAUACCGGCGCCCAACUGACGCUGAAGCACGAAAGCGUGGGUAUCGAACAGGAUUAGAUACCCUCGUAA
This 466-nucleotide ribosomal RNA is filed under the name uncultured bacterium. RNAcentral describes it as "bacterial SSU rRNA". It matches the Rfam family "Bacterial small subunit ribosomal RNA", at positions 329 to 793 of the family's 1533-position model. The record is from RNAcentral.